UUGUGGUCUGUAGGCUGCAGCUGGAGGCCAAAGAAUAGCUUUCUAUUUGGUUUCUCCCAAAGAACAAAUGUUUGUUUGAGAGUUUAGACAUGAUGGGAAACUCGAUUUUUGAGAAUUGAAUCAAGAUGUUGAGCAUUCUCCCUUCUUUCUCUUCUCUCUACUCGCUCUCUUCUUCUUCUGUGUCUCCCCUUGGCUCUCGGCAGAUAAAGCGAACGAAGUGAAGUUCAGCGUGCUGCAUGUGAAGAACAGCCGUGGUCUGAUCGAGCCCUCGGUGGAUCACUCCAGCAGUCACUUCUCUUUCAUCCGUGGGUCCGAUUGUUCAGACGCAGAGCAUCAUGGGGUGGUGCCCUGAGAACUGCUUCUCCUUCAGAGUUUACAUGGCUGGAAACAACUGCUCUGACAUCAAGGACAUCAGGAGGACCGUUCGGCGGGCUGUAAGAACAACAAGAGGUACAUACAAGUAGACAAGCCGCAGGAGAGCAGGAGCUACCCAUGGGUCACAUCACACCUGAGGGCAUGCUCUUCUCUCCUGUCAUCAUGGAGGUCAAGGGAUACUUGAGGUCUUCUUCGAGGAGAGCCCUCCCUUCAAACUGU
Carassius auratus (goldfish) is the source of this 594-nucleotide long non-coding RNA. RefSeq lists it as uncharacterized. NCBI's taxonomy places the organism in Eukaryota, Metazoa, Chordata, Actinopteri, Cypriniformes, Cyprinidae. The record is from RefSeq and is a predicted model, not a curated record. The transcript has 3 exons.